CGAACGGGUGAGUAAUGCAUCGGAACGCGUCCUGUAGUGGGGGACAACCCCGAGAAAUCGGGGCUAAUACCGCAUACGAUCUGCGGAUGAAAGUGGGGACCGCAAGGCCUCACGCUAUAGGAGCGGCCGAUGCCGGAUUAGCUAGUUGGUGGGGUAAAGGCCUACCAAGGCGACGAUCCGUAGCUGGUCUGAGAGGACGACCAGCCACACUGGGACUGAGACACGGCCCAG
RNAcentral lists this ribosomal RNA (231 nucleotides) under uncultured bacterium. Its description in RNAcentral is "partial 16S ribosomal RNA". It matches the Rfam family "Bacterial small subunit ribosomal RNA", at positions 99 to 334 of the family's 1533-position model. The record is from RNAcentral.